UACGUAGGUGGCAAGCGUUAUCCGGAUUUAUUGGGCGCAAAGGGAACGCAGGCGGUCUUUUAAGUCUGAUGUGAAAGCCUUCGGCUUAACCGGAGUAGUGCAUUGGAAACUGGGAGACUUGAGUGCAGAAGAGGAGAGUGGAACUCCAUGUGUAGCGGUGAAGUGCGUAGAUAUAUGGAAGAACACCAGUGGCGAAAGCGGCUCUCUGGUCUGUAACUGACGCUGAGGUUCGAAAGCGUGGGUAGCAAACAGG
RNAcentral lists this ribosomal RNA (253 nucleotides) under uncultured bacterium. Its description in RNAcentral is "partial 16S ribosomal RNA". It matches the Rfam family "Bacterial small subunit ribosomal RNA", at positions 524 to 776 of the family's 1533-position model. The record is from RNAcentral.